UUUAAUGAUUGAGUAAACUCAAACUCAUAAUCAGAGAACUAAUCAAUUUAACUAUUAAUACUUCAGCCAUUUAUGACAGUGUAGCCGUCCACGAUAACAAUGGAACUGUCUAUAAUAACAAUGCGACAAUCCACAAUGAAGGUCGUCAUUCUGCAUGAUCACGUAGCAUGAAAAUUUAUCUUUGAAACCGUCAAAUUUUGUGUGUGUCUGUAUAUAUUAAAGACUUGAGCUUGGUGUCCCAUUCAAAUUUUGUCGAAAGAAAGAAAAAAACAGCAGUCGACAAUGGAGAUAGAGGAAGGGCAAGCCCAAGUAAUCCAAAAGUUCGUGAACAAAGCCUCAACUCUUGAAACCACCUCCUCUCUCGCCAACCUCAUCGUUGAAGCCACUUCUCACCCUUCUCUUUUCGCUUUUUCCGAGAUUUUAUCUCUCCCUAAUAUCCUCCAGCUUCAAGGAACUGAGGAUUCUGCUUAUAUUUUGCUUCGCUUAUUUGGUUAUGGAACCUGGCGUGAUUACAAAGGUAAUUCUGCUAUGCUGCCAAAGUUGUCACAGGAUCAAAUCCUCAAGCUCAAACAACUCACUGUGGUUACUCUUUCUGGGACCAAUAAGGUUCUCUCUUACAAUAAACUUCAAGAAGAACUUGAGGUUUCUAAUGUGCGUGAACUUGAAGACUUCCUUAAAAAUGACUGCAUGAUACGGGCAUAGUCAAAGGGAAGUUGAAUCAGUUGGGAAGAUGUCUUGAGAUUUAAUUAUUUACCCUGUGAAGAAUAAGUCAUUUGUUUGGCUUCAUCAAGUCUCUAAUAAAUGUUUUCGAUUUAAUGCUUGAUUCUCUGGGGUUAUUUCAUUUGUAGGUGCAAUUUGCAGCAGAGAGGGAUCUCAUGCAUGGGCAGCUUGGGAGUAUGAUAGAUACUUUGGGAAACUGGUUAGCCACUUCAGACAACGUGCUUUCCUUGAUUGAAGAAAAGAUUGACUGCGCUAGUAAAAUGUGUCAGUUGAACAUGGAUCACCAGCAGGAACUCCAAGGUAGAAUUGAUGAAGGAAAGAAAAAUAUCCAUUUUAAGGUGUAAGCUGAAUAUGCAUUCUACUUUGUGAGUUUUUCCUUGCUCUCCUGAUGUAAUUUGACUUCUAAAUUUCUGGCUAUCAGUGAUCCCUGUGGCAUUGGAGAAUCAACCAUGAAAAGUAAAAGAAACUUUGGUUAUGUUAAAUGUUUUAAGUUCAUCUCUUCAUAAGUUUUAAGCAGACACAUUUCAUUUUAUAUAAAAUACAACGAAGCAGUUCUUACCAUAAAAUUUCCAGAAUAUGUGAUGAGGAGGAAUUCGAGUGCUGUGAUUUGAGUAACCCUGAAUCUUGAGCUGUAUGUUCCUGCAAAUUAUUUCCAUUGAGAUAAUUUCUUAUUAACUGUUAUAUGGUCCCUUUUUUUCUUUUUGGUUGGCAGAAAUCACAGCACAAGCAGGACCUUUGUUUCUUGGAAUAUGGUGAUGGUUUUGACUUUCUUGGUGGACCAAUGGAACAUGAAGAGGAUCUCAUGCGAUCCAAGAGGUAAUCCAUCUUAAAGUUGUGUUCUAUAUAGUAUGCGAUUACUCAUUCAUUUCAGGCAAACAGUAAUUUCCAUUGAUAUUGUUGAAUAUAUGGAUGGGGAAUUAAGUUGAUUAACUAGGCAACUAAGCAAGUUAUUUUUGUAUGAACUGUAACCUAUUCAUGCAUCUGAGCCUCAGAAAACCCAGUUUUCUCGUCCUCUUGUGGCUGAAACAUGACAAAGUAAGCUGGCUGUCUUUCUUCAUCAGCUUGAUCCUUGACAUUGGUGGAUGUGAAAUAUGUGCAAUUAAUGAAACAAAAGUGGCACCAUGGCCUUGUUUCUCAAUUAAACCUUUCUGAUUUCAUCUGAUACGAAUUCACCAUCUUAGUGAAGUUCAUUGAUAUGUCUUAUCAAAAAGAAGAAAUGCAGCGGUUAAUCACCAUCUUCUACAUGUUCUUCACCAUUCAUCAGGUUUAAUUCACAUAGAUUGCAUGUUUUCCAUUCUCUGUCUUAUGAUUCAAUCUUGUUAAUUUCCAAAUCGCAGGAGCUGGUCACCGCGCACAGUUACAGGCGAAGAAGGUCGUUGUGCCCUUGAUGUGUCUCCUGGUGGUAAACCAAGUUGCUCAUGGCAUAUUAGAAUCAGGAAUUAUCCAGCUAGAAUCAGGAAUUUGUCACCAUUUUCUCUCUUUUUAAAAAAAAAAUGAAGUCUCAGGGGGGAAAUUAUUCAAAUUUAGUGCAGAUUCGUAUCCUUAUCUCAAAGCAAGGAUGUUGGUUUUUACUGUCUUUCUGCAUGCAUGUCAAUAUAUUUCUAAAACCAGCAGCUGAUAUUUCAAAACCAAAGCAAUUGAUUAUGUUUACACAGAUUUCUCGCAUCUCCAUGAUGCCUCCGUUGGUCGGGCAUUGGGAUUCUGCUGGUACAACAGUAUAAUAGUCUCUUCAGUCUUGUGCUCGUGGUUGUGAUCUAUCUUACCCUUGGAUCUUGGUUAUCUUCCAUGGAUAGUCUUAGAUUUGAGAAGCCAGACAUGUCUGCUUUAAAAUGUUCCCAUUUUGUUUGUGGUAAUUUGACCGCAAAUCAACAAUGACAGAAGUAGAAAAUUAUGAGUUGAAUAAUAAUGAUGAAGAUGAUGAUGAUGUUCGUUACCAUGAUUGAAAUGACUAUCAACAAAUAAAAUUAAUAACCAAAAGAGUUAAGACUAGAAAUAUCCAAAAAUAGAAUGAAAUGUUUCCAUUUUCCGUUGGAAGAGAUUUUACAUCAAAAUCACAAAAUUCCAAAACUCUAU
Populus trichocarpa (black cottonwood) is the source of this 2793-nucleotide RNA transcript. It is a transcript of the gene named COP9 signalosome complex subunit 7, with no coding region annotated. NCBI's taxonomy places the organism in Eukaryota, Viridiplantae, Streptophyta, Magnoliopsida, Malpighiales, Salicaceae. The record is from RefSeq and is a predicted model, not a curated record. The transcript has 6 exons.